GAUGAACGCUAGCUACAGGCUUAACACAUGCAAGUCGAGGGGCAGCAUUUUAGUUUGCUUGCAAACUAAAGAUGGCGACCGGCGCACGGGUGAGUAACACGUAUCCAACCUGCCGAUAACUCGGGGAUAGCCUUUCGAAAGAAAGAUUAAUAUCCGAUAGUAUAUUAAAACCGCAUGGUUUUACUAUUAAAGAAUUUCGGUUAUCGAUGGGGAUGCGUUCCAUUAGUUGUUGGCGGGGUAACGGCCCACCAAGACUACGAUGGAUAGGGGUUCUGAGAGGAAGGUCCCCCCACAUUGGAACUGAGACACGGUCCAAACUCCUACGGGAGGCAGCAGUGGGGAAUAUUGGUCAAUGGACGAGAGUCUGAACCAGCCAAGUAGCGUGAAGGAUGACUGCCCUAUGGGUUGUAAACUCUUUUANAUGGGAAUAAAGUAUUCCACGUGUGGGAUUUUGUAUGUACCAUAUGAAUAAGGAUCGGCUAACUCCGUG
RNAcentral lists this ribosomal RNA (490 nucleotides) under uncultured bacterium. RNAcentral's name for it is "bacterial SSU rRNA". It matches the Rfam family "Bacterial small subunit ribosomal RNA", at positions 28 to 507 of the family's 1533-position model. The record is from RNAcentral.